AUUGAACGCUGGCGGCAGGCCUAACACAUGCAAGUCGAGCGGAUGAUGGGAGCUUGCUCCUGGAUUCAGCGGCGGACGGGUGAGUAAUGCCUAGGAAUCUGCCUGGUAGUGGGGGAUAACGUCCGGAAACGGGCGCUAAUACCGCAUACGUCCUGAGGGAGAAAGUGGGGGAUCUUCGGACCUCACGCUAUCAGAUGAGCCUAGGUCGGAUUAGCUAGUUGGUGGGGUAAAGGCCUACCAAGGCGACGAUCCGUAACUGGUCUGAGAGGAUGAUCAGUCACACUGGAACUGAGACACGGUCCAGACUCCUACGGGAGGAAGCAGUGGGGACUAUUGGACAAUGGGCGAAAGCCUGAUCCAGCCAUGCCGCGUGUGUGAAGAAGGUCUUCGGAUUGUAAAGCACUUUAAGUUGGGAGGAAGGGCAGUAAGUUAAUACCUUGCUGUUUUGACGUUACCAACAGAAUAAGCACCGGCUAACUUCGUG
RNAcentral lists this ribosomal RNA (484 nucleotides) under uncultured bacterium. Its description in RNAcentral is "partial 16S ribosomal RNA". It matches the Rfam family "Bacterial small subunit ribosomal RNA", at positions 30 to 507 of the family's 1533-position model. The record is from RNAcentral.